UGGAGAAAGGUACACUUAAAGAACAUCUAUACGGCUCGAAUCUACCUCCCUUGUCAUGGAAACAAAGACUAGAGAUCUGCAUUGGAGCAGCUAGAGGUUUACAUUAUCUCCACAGUUGCGCAGAAGGAGUAAUCAUACACAGAGACGUCAAAUCCACAAACAUACUACUAGACGAGAACACUAUAGCCAAAGUCGCCGAUUUCGGACUCUCGAAACUCACGAUUCGUAAUCAAGAUCCAACUAAUAUCAGCCUAAACAUCAAAGGAACAUUCGGUUACUUAGAUCCAGAGUAUCUCCAAACACAUAUCUUAACAGAGAAAUCUGACGUUUACGCAUUCGGAGUCGUCCUCCUCGAGGUUUUGUUAGCGAGACCAGCUCUAGAUUGUACUCUACGUUACGAAGAAGCGAAUCUAGCGGAAUGGGCGUUGUUCUGCAAAUCAGAAGGUAAAAUCGAUGAGAUCUUAGAUCCGAGUUUGAUAGGUCAAAUUGAGACGAAUUCUUUGAAGAAAUUCAUGGAGAUUGCUGAGAAAUGUUUGAAAGAGUGUGGAGAUGAGAGACCGAGUAUGGGAGAUGUGAUUUGGGAUCUUGAGUAUGUUCUUCAGCUUCAGAUGAUGACGAUUCGUAGAGAAGCUCAUGAAGAAGAUAGUACGGCGAUUG
This 657-nucleotide long non-coding RNA is filed under the name Arabidopsis lyrata. RNAcentral describes it as "long non-coding RNA (ALYR_LNC001889)". The record is from RNAcentral. Lineage: Eukaryota; Viridiplantae; Streptophyta; Magnoliopsida; Brassicales; Brassicaceae.